RNAcentral lists this ribosomal RNA (526 nucleotides) under Bifidobacterium longum subsp. suillum. RNAcentral's name for it is "bacterial SSU rRNA". It matches the Rfam family "Bacterial small subunit ribosomal RNA", at positions 165 to 706 of the family's 1533-position model. Lineage: Bacteria; Bacillati; Actinomycetota; Actinomycetes; Bifidobacteriales; Bifidobacteriaceae. The record is from RNAcentral.
AAUGCCGGAUGCUCCAGUUGAUCGCAUGGUCUUCUGGGAAAGCUUUCGCGGUAUGGGAUGGGGUCGCGUCCUAUCAGCUUGACGGCGGGGUAACGGCCCACCGUGGCUUCGACGGGUAGCCGGCCUGAGAGGGCGACCGGCCACAUUGGGACUGAGAUACGGCCCAGACUCCUACGGGAGGCAGCAGUGGGGAAUAUUGCACAAUGGGCGCAAGCCUGAUGCAGCGACGCCGCGUGAGGGAUGGAGGCCUUCGGGUUGUAAACCUCUUUUAUCGGGGAGCAAGCGAGAGUGAGUUUACCCGUUGAAUAAGCACCGGCUAACUACGUGCCAGCAGCCGCGGUAAUACGUAGGGUGCAAGCGUUAUCCGGAAUUAUUGGGCGUAAAGGGCUCGUAGGCGGUUCGUCGCGUCCGGUGUGAAAGUCCAUCGCUUAACGGUGGAUCCGCGCCGGGUACGGGCGGGCUUGAGUGCGGUAGGGGAGACUGGAAUUCCCGGUGUAACGGUGGAAUGUGUAGAUAUCGGGAAAGA